This 392-nucleotide unclassified non-coding RNA is filed under the name soil metagenome. Its description in RNAcentral is "partial contains 5.8S ribosomal RNA, internal transcribed spacer 2, and large subunit ribosomal RNA". The stretch from base 1 to 122 matches the Rfam family "5.8S ribosomal RNA", at positions 35 to 154 of the family's 154-position model. The record is from RNAcentral.
GAUGAAGAACGCAGCGAAAUGCGAUACUUGGUGUGAAUUGCAGAAUCCCGUGAACCAUCGAGUCUUUGAACGCAAGUUGCGCCCGAAGCCACUAGGCCGAGGGUACGCCUGCCUGGGCGUCACACGUCCUUGCCCCCCCCCAUCUACUCCUUCGGGAUUGCGGGGGGCGGAUGAUGGCCUCCCGUGCGCCUAGCCGCGCGGUUGGCAUAAAUACCAAGUCCUCGGCGACGCACGCCACGACAAUCGGUGGUUGCGAAACCUCGGUUGCCCGUCGUGUGCGUUCGUCGCGCAUCGAGGGCUCGAAAAAAUGCUCGGCUCCGGCUCGGCUUUCAACGCGACCCCAGGUCAGGCGGGGUUACCCGCUGAAUUUAAGCAUAUCAAUAAGCGGAGGA